AGUGAACGCUGGCGGUAGGCCUAACACAUGCAAGUCGAACGGCAGCACAGUAAGAGCUUGCUCUUACGGGUGGCGAGUGGCGGACGGGUGAGGAAUACAUCGGAAUCUACUUUUUCGUGGGGGAUAACGUAGGGAAACUUACGCUAAUACCGCAUACGACCUACGGGUGAAAGCAGUGGAUCUUCGCACCUUGCGCGAUUGAAUGAGCCGAUGUCGGAUUAGCUAGUUGGCGGGGUAAAGGCCCACCAAGGCGACGAUCCGUAGCUGGUCUGAGAGGAUGAUCAGCCACACUGGAACUGGGACACGGUCCAGACUCCUACGGGAGGCAGCAGUGGGGAAUAUUGGACAAUGGGCGCAAGCCUGAUCCAGCCAUACCGCGUGGGUGAAGAAGGCCUUCGGGUUGUAAAGCCCUUUUGUUGGGAAAGAAAAGCAGCAGGUUAAUACCCCGCUGUUCUGACGGUACCCAAAGAAUAAGCACCGGCUAACUUCGUG
This 492-nucleotide ribosomal RNA is filed under the name uncultured bacterium. RNAcentral describes it as "partial 16S ribosomal RNA". It matches the Rfam family "Bacterial small subunit ribosomal RNA", at positions 29 to 507 of the family's 1533-position model. The record is from RNAcentral.